RNAcentral lists this ribosomal RNA (253 nucleotides) under uncultured bacterium. RNAcentral's name for it is "partial 16S ribosomal RNA". It matches the Rfam family "Bacterial small subunit ribosomal RNA", at positions 524 to 776 of the family's 1533-position model. RNAcentral also lists the same sequence under 1 other name. The record is from RNAcentral.
UACGAACCGUCCAAACGUUAUUCGGAAUCACUGGGCUUAAAGAGUCUGUAGGCGGCUGAGAAAGUAGGGUGUGAAAUCCCACGGCUUAACCGUGGAACUGCGCCCUAAACUACUCAGCUUGAGGGAGCUAGAGGUAAGCGGAACUGAUGGUGGAGCGGUGAAAUGCGUUGAUAUCAUCAGGAACACCGGAGGCGAAGGCGGCUUACUGGGGCUUUUCUGACGCUGAGAGACGAAAGCUAGGGUAGCGAACGGG